Molecule: ribosomal RNA, 445 nt
Filed under: uncultured bacterium
Lineage: Bacteria
Description: partial 16S ribosomal RNA
Rfam family: Bacterial small subunit ribosomal RNA
Source: RNAcentral
GUGAGGAAUAUUGGUCAAUGGGCGGGAGCCUGAACCAGCCAAGUCGCGUGAAGGAAGAAGGAUCUAUGGUUCGUAAACUUCUUUUGCAGGGGAAUAAAGUGCAGGACGUGUCCUGUUUUGUAUGUACCCUGAGAAUAAGGAUCGGCUAACUCCGUGCCAGCAGCCGCGGUAAUACGGAGGAUCCGAGCGUUAUCCGGAUUUAUUGGGUUUAAAGGGUGCGUAGGUGGUUUGAUAAGUCAGCGGUGAAAGUUUGCAGCUUAACUGUAAAAAUGCCGUUGAAACUGUCAGACUUGAGUGUAAAUGAGGUAGGCGGAAUGCGUGGUGUAGCGGUGAAAUGCAUAGAUAUCACGCAGAACUCCGAUUGCGAAGGCAGCUUACUAAGCUACAACUGACACUGAAGCACGAAAGCGUGGGGAUCAAACAGGAUUAGAUACCCGUGUAGUCC